Molecule: long non-coding RNA, 2069 nt
Organism: Microcebus murinus (gray mouse lemur)
Lineage: Eukaryota; Metazoa; Chordata; Mammalia; Primates; Cheirogaleidae
Source: Ensembl
CACUCGCGCCAGGUCUCCAGGUGGCGCCUGGGCUGACUCGCGCCAGGUCUCCAGGUGGCGCCUGGGCCGACGGCUGGCAGCAGGGGAAGGAGCUGAGCCGCCAGGGCAGGCGCCCUCUCCCGGACCCUGGUGUCCCCGGGCGUCGCGCUCAGCCCCUUCCCUUACCAUGCCCGUCACAUACAUGAUGGACGGCCACCUGCCCAUUUUGCAGAUGCACAAACUCAGAAAGCUGCGGCGAGGCGCCCCGGGCCUCCCACCAGAGAGGCAGAGCGGGGAAUUAAGACCCACGCCCUAGACACGGGCCCGGGGUCCUUCUACGACCGACCCCUCAGCUGCGCAACUGCAGAGACACUGACGCCCCAGUGUACCCAUUUAGCAACCGCCUGAGCCGAGGAAAUGAGAGGUGGCACUGCCCCAGCCCGCAGGGAUCAAUCCCUGCUCCCUUCUCCGCACGCUCAUUAUUACCCCAACCGUGACCGGCCGGAAAACCCUGCCAGAGAUCGAUGUCAAGCUCUCGGGGAUAGUAGUUCCUGUUGUAAAAUGCUCCUCUGGGCCGAAAGCCACCGUUGGGUGCCGUACUGCCUGGGCCCGCCACCACCCGGACCGGGGGGGAUCUCCGGGCCCAGGGGGUCCAAGAGUGACUCAGGCACGCCUGUGAAGGUCUGGAGGAAGGGCGCCCAGGCUACAGGAACAGCAAGCGGGGGCGCCCCCAGGUGGAAUCAGUCUUGCUGCACCCCAGGGCCAGGAAGAGCCUCCACCUGCGAGGCUGGGCGGAGCCAACGAGAGAGCAGCAGCCAGAAAGGCUGUGGCAGGUGCAGCAGCCUCCUGGGGGAAGAGGGAGGUGAGGAGACACAAGUCUCUUUUCGUCUCCUCCCAGCCAGGUCCCUCAGCAUCCGCUCAGCUGGGGGUACCUGCGUCUGGAUGAAGGUGGGGUAUGCUGCUUUCCCUGUCUUGUAGCCUGUGGCUAAAGCCAAUGUCCCCGACUAUAUUAGUGCUCUAUUGCUGUGUAGCCGGAGUACCACUAACUUUUAGCAGCUUAAAACAACACACAGUAAUUAUCUCCCAGUUUCUGUGGUCAACAGUCUGGACACAGCUUAACUGGCUCCUCCGUUAGGAACUCACAAGGGUGCCACCAAGGCGUCUGCUGGGGCGUGUUCUUACUCGGAAGCUAGACUGGGGAAGAAUCUGCUUCCUAGCUCACUUAGGUUGUUGGCAGAAUUCAUUCCCUUUGAGGUUACGGGACUGAGCAUCCUGGUUCUGGCUGGCUGCAGGCUGGGGACCACUCUCAGCCCCUAGAGGCUGCUGGGAGAUCCUCACUGUCUGUGCCUCUCCGGCAUGACCGGCUACUCCCCCAAAACCGCACAGACAGUCUCUAGGGCAAGUCGGCUAGCGAGACAGAACCUCAUAUGAAAGUGAAAUCAAAUCCAUUGCCUUUGCCGUAUUCCGCAAGUCACAGUUCCUGCCCACGCUCUUUCUAUUUUUAUGUAUAUCCCAUUAUCCUUAGUCUUUUUCUGAAUGAUUUGAGAGGAAGCUGUAGACAAAAUACCCCUCAAAUACUCCAGAGUGUACUUGCCCCCAAAUAAGGGCACUCUCCUACACAAACAUAUAAAAUACAACUUUCCGAGUUAAGAAGUCAACAGAGACUCAGCAUUACCAUCCCUUCUGUGGCCCCUAGAAGUCUCUGAUGGCUCCCUUGCUUUGUAACAGCUGAUGUUCCAGGUUGGUCUAGUACAUUUCUGUCCGUACCUGGAAUCAGCAUCUUCCCCAGGGAGCCCUCAUUAUCUCUAGGGAUAAAUGGCAUUUCAAGACCACAGUCUGGGGCCUUUGCAUCCAUUUUUUAAAAAUGUAAUUUGGCUUUAGCCCAGGAGUUCGAGACCAGCUGGGGUAACAUCGGGAGACCCCCGUCUCUACAAAACAAUUAUUUAAAAAAUUAGCCGAGCGUGGCGACACGUCCCUGUGGUCCCAGCUGCUCAGGAGGCUGAAGAGAGAAGAUCGCUCAAGCCUGGAGGAGUUUGAGGCUGCAGUGAGCCAGCAUCACACCACUGCACCCCAGCCUAACAGAGCAAGAC